This is a long non-coding RNA of Zophobas morio, 305 nucleotides long. RefSeq lists it as uncharacterized. NCBI's taxonomy places the organism in Eukaryota, Metazoa, Arthropoda, Insecta, Coleoptera, Tenebrionidae. The transcript is spliced from 3 exons. The record is from RefSeq and is a predicted model, not a curated record.
CCUGGUGUGUUUAUUAGUGAGUGGGGUGUUGGUGAAUGCGUCGGCGCCUGAAAGCUUUACUCUCCAUUCCUUAUCGUCUCUAAAGUAUUCCAGCCGGGGAAAUCUUAAUGUGCAGCCGGAACCUUAAACUUUGUGGAGGGGACUAUUUCUGCAGCUUUCACGCUGACAACCUAAGAAUCUUGAGGGGUGGAUAACCACGUCGGGUUUUUCUUUAAAUCCUUCUGUAAGUUCAAGACUGAGUAGAAGUUAAGAUUAUACUGAAUAUAUAAUUGAAAAAUCCUACAAAUGCGGUGGACGAACUAUUG